RNAcentral lists this unclassified non-coding RNA (7165 nucleotides) under Leishmania donovani. Its description in RNAcentral is "gene:LdHU3.15.1090(CDS-product:hypothetical_prote in_conserved)". Lineage: Eukaryota; Euglenozoa; Kinetoplastea; Trypanosomatida; Trypanosomatidae. The record is from RNAcentral.
CUGAAUCUUUUACAAAGAUCCCCAUCUCUCUCCCCCUCACCUCCCCCCCCCUCCCUUUCCACCCACCACCGGUCACCCUCCUCGACCACCGUCGUCUGUCGCGGGCUGCCCUCACCCCCGUCUGCCAGGGUUGGAGAGCACGUACCCGGCGAAAGAAACGAGCAGACGAGGGGACGCGUCUCAAGGCGCGUUUCGUGCCGCCGACCGCACACACACGCACACGCGCACACGCUCUCGUGGUUGCUUCGCGUGCCUCUGCUUUACCUUUCUCUGUGGUUGCUGCCGUCUGUUGUCAUCUUCGUUUGAGGGGGCGGGGGGUGUCGAAGCUAAAGGUGCUGGAAGCGUCCCCAGCUCAGAGGUGAAGUGCAACGCCGUCACCGCCCUCUAUCUCUCCUGUAACUCCCUAACCAACCGCCGCGAAAGCCCCACCACCUUCUUCUUCGUCAAUCAUGUCGAGUGGGUACUACUCUUCUUGUGAGACGUGCAGCGACGGCAGUGGCGCGCCGGCGAGCGGGUCAUCCACGUUGCCUCCCACGCCACCGCCACCGCCGUCGUCUUCAUCCCUGCCGCAGCUGACCUCCGCGGAGCUCGCCGAGUUGCCGCCGGUGCCGAUGUCAUCGUCGUCGUAUCCCACCCCCUCACCAUCCUCUGCGGCCACCGAGUCGCAGCGCGGAUCUGUCGACGUCGACCGCGCGGGCAACCAGGGGAGUUCCAAGGGUGACGCGAGCAGUCCCUGCUGGGAAGAAGCAGAGGCGGAGCUGGACGAUGAUGUCGAGUACCACAGCGGCGACGGUGGCAGCGAGAGUGACGAGACGACUGCACGUGGCGCCUCUGGUGAACCGGUGGAUGCUCCGCUGAUGGUUCCCGAUUGGCUGCCGGACCCGCCGUUAUCAUCGUUGUCAUCGGUGUCGGCGUCGCAGCGCACGGACGAGGAAGGCGUCCAGCAGCGUGCCGCCUCUACUAUUCCGGACUCAGAGCAGAGUAGUCGUCAAGACGAAAACGUGCCGGCGGACGCGGCGAUGCUGCACGGGUGUGCAGACGGUGCAGAUGGCAGUACUGCUGCCUUCCGUGACGCUGGCGAGCAGGGGGUAGCGCACGAUUAUCGCGAAGCGGUGGUGAGCGACGCUGCUGUCACGGAAAACGAUAAUGAAGAAGAGUGGCGUCAAGGCGGUCGCGACGAAGCUGACGACGUCUCUGACGCAGCGGUCGCGGCCCGCGCCGCCUCCAUCACGUCCGAUGUGGUUGCAGAGAGCGUCUGGGCAUCUGAGGAGCGCGCCAGCGCCGCCUUGCAGCAGUUCAGCACCUCCCUGCACUCAAAGCUGGUCGAGCAGCUCAUCGAUGACGCGGUCGUGGCAGUGGAGCGCACGCUGCAGGACACGGUGCGGCAGCAUGAGUCGCGCGUGCGAGCCCUGAUGGCGCAGAAUAGGCUACUUGACCGCCAGCUGGCCGGUCAGGCGGUGCAGAUGCAGUCGAUUCGGAAAGACCUGGAAGACUCGAUACUGCGGGACUUACAACGUGUACUGCGCGUUGAUCUGCGACAGGCCUUCCGGUCGGCUAGCGCCGACCGCUCCAAUGGCAAAGAGGUCUCCGCGGAGUCCACGGCCCCGCCGUCACCGUCCUUGGGGCGCCGUCCCUCCCCCGACGCGCACUCCCCCAGCGCGGAAGAGGACGUGGCUGGCAGCAUCGGCAUGCAGCGGCGAUCGUGUGAGGGGUCGGUGUCUUCGACGUACGCGGUCGACGACAGUGCGCGGCCAUCUGUGGAAGAGCUCCUCGCCGCGUACGUCAACCAGCGCGGCACCCUCGAGCUGCUUCAGAAGGAACGCGCGCAAUGGUGGAAAAGCACGGCCGUCUUGCGAGACAGGUUGUUCGCCGCCACGCGUGAAGUUGUGCAGCUGCGGCAGGAGGUGGAGCGGCUUCAGACGACAACAGUGGAUGUGGCGGAGCACUGCGCCGUGGUGCAGGCAAGAGGGGAGGCAGAGCAUCAGUGUACUCUCAUGCAACUGCAGCUCGCCAAGCACAUCGAAGAGGCGGAGAUGAUGGAGGCGCUUGUGGAGAGGCGUGAGUUGGCGCAGUCGCAGCCCCCUGGCGCCGCAGAGGGCAACACGGGACAAGCAGCUUCGACGGGAGAUGUCACCGCCACUGCAACAGCAGCAGCAGCGAUGAACGAGGAGCUGCUUCGAAAGGGGCCGCAGUGGGACAUUGCGUUGCGUGAGCUGGAGGAGCAGGCCACCAUUGCGGCCAACAGUCGCCAGCUGCGUGAGCAACUCGCCAAAGCCGAGGAGGAGCUGCGGUCCUUGCAGAAAGACAGAGACGCGAGUGUCGCCUACGCGGCGGAGUUGAAGAAAGAAGGUGACGUGCUGCGGGCAGAUCUGCAGUCGAUGGUGUACCGCAACAGCGUGCUCUCCCAGCAAGUUGCGUCACUGCUUGUCAAGGUCGAGCACACAUGCCGCGCCAACCGGCAGCUGCAGGCCAUGCAGGCUCUAUCGCCUCCGCCGCAGCAGCAGGGGCCGCUCGACCAAUUAGGCGCAAAGAAGGCCAAGCGAUCUUUGUGUGCGCCCACCUCGUCGCGAUCGUCAUCCUCAACCUUCCCGGCGCCGUCCAACGAGCUGCUUUCGACUUUGCCGUCGCAGGCGGAGCGGCGCAGCGCGUGGCUGAGCGUGAUGUGGCCGUUGUCGAGGUCCGGCGGCAGUGACGCGGCAGCUGAGAAUCGACUCAAUACAGCAGUACUCUACGACCAGCAGAAGCAUCGGCAGCCGCCACCGUCGCCCCUCGCAUCUGCGGACGCCUCAAAGAUGUCCUCGCCGACGGAGGUGGAGGAGGGCGUGCAGCAGCGACUGAACACCUACGCCGCAUCACGCUUGGUGGCACCACAGCUGGGCAGCGGCGCCUCCCUUCAGCUUCCACGUCGACCGCGGCACGUCUCGCUACGGCAGCUCGGCAGCGCCACGCUCGAGGUCGACCGCGUGUGCAGUCCGCAUCUGCCGGCCAGUGAUCAGCUCAGCGGGUACGCGCUCGGACGUCCGUCGACGUUCUCAACAGUCGAUGUCGCGCGCGGGACGGUGACGCGCCAGGUGGGAUCGGAGGAGGUGACGGUUCUGCUCACCGGAGCAGCUGCCUCGUCCGCACACGGGUCGCCAUCACCAGCCACGCCGGACGACAGCAGAGCCGGUGACGUAGACGUGUGGACAUCAGCAGCGGCGGCGGCGUCGCCAUCGACGCGGCGCGUGCACAGCACAGACGACGUGAGUCGCGACCCGAACCUGCUACGUCUCCUGGACACCCUGGACAAGGACGAGAGCCUCGAUCGAUUCAGCGUGAACUCUGUCGCCGAGCUGGUUUUGCGGAACCAGGAGCUGGUAAAGCAGCUGUACGAGGCGACGCAGCGCGCCGAAGCGGCGGAGCGGCGGCGGCAGCAGCAGCAGCAAGGGGGUGUCUCUGCCUCUCAGUUGGAUGAGAAGGGGCCAUCGUUCGGGGUCAUGGCUGCCUCUGCCCGCGACCCAUCCGCGCCACUAGGCAGCGGCAUCGAUGCGAACUUCAACGCGGUGCCGGCAACGCUCACUUCCACCACUGCAGAACUGCUUCUGCGGGAGGGUGAUCCGAACUCGCGCAAGCGCGCCCGUGAUGGUGACGACGACGAUAGGAGCCAAGAGCGAGGAGACGCCGAGGGCGGCCGCCACGUCAGUGGCGACCAAAGCGAGAAUAAGGCGUCACAUCAGCAGGUCACCGACGGUGCAGGAGCAGACUCUGCUGCUGCUGCUGCUGUUGCAAUGACGGAGUCGUGGUUCACCAAGGACGCUAGCGACGCGGUUGCCAGCAUGAUUGAUGCGAUGGUGCGUCGGCGUGAUGUGCGGCUCACGUCUGCCGACACGGAGGUGUCGCGAGCGCUGAUCCAGGCGCUGGCAGCGCAGCGCGCCACAGACAACGCGGUGCAGCGGGCACGCACAAAUAGCGACGGUGUUCCAGGUACUGAGGUGGCCACGGAGAUUUCGCCGGAGACGGACUCGUUUUCUGUGGGCAUCUCCUCGCGAGCGUUGUCUUCGUGUCUGCACAGCCUCGCGCACCUUUGUCUAGAGCAGUCUUCCGCGCUGGUGGUGUUGGCACGGAAGGCCGAGCAUCAGAACGAAGAGAUGCAGAAAGCCGUCAAGAACACAUGGACAGAGGUGCAGCAGGUGCUUCUCGCCGCGCUGCAGACCUCGCGCGCUGCGCUUGCCUCAUCCACCUCGGCGUCCGACGACAAUGCGGCCACCAGCGCUCCUCGUCUCUCGCGUCAGCGCGUGCGGCUAGAGGGAGGUGCGGCGGACAGCAGCUCUGUCGUGGGCAACGAAGGUGGCGCUCAAAGAGACGGCCGCCACGAGUUCCGCCCCGAGGAACAGGUUGCACUCCUCCAGCAGCUCCGCACGCUGCUGCACACGGCCGCAAAAAAGGACGAGACUCUCCUGCAUGUCUACCAGGCUGCACAGGCACGCAAAGAUGCGCGGCAGCACCAGGAGAAGGAGCGUGUGGCGCGCCUGCUGCUGAAACUGGAGCGGAAACGGCGCCUCAUCAAGGCCUUGCAGCUUCGGCACGCGAACAUGAACGUGGUGGCCGCUGUCGGUGCCGACCCCGGCGCACGUGGGCUCAGUCACCCCUCCCCGCUCGACUGCGAAAACUCGCAGGGUGCCGUGGCGGCCGGCUUUCGCCUUUCCCCGCAGCCGGGCUCGCCCGCCCGACGGACGCCGCCGAUGCCGCCGAUGGUGUUGCCCGCUGCCAGCACGACCGACGCUGGCGACGAGCGCCGUGGCGACGACGACUGCGACCGGGCCAGUAGCGUGGACAGUGGCAGCAGCCACCCUCACCGCAGCUACCGCGAUCCGCACGGCCGCGAUGACGAUGACGGUGACAGCGACGACGAGCUUGACGACGAGAUCCUGACACUAGACAUCUUCCGCGAGCUUCAGCAGCAGCUCGCCCUGAGCCAAGCGAGCCAUCAAGCUGCGCAGGAAGAGCUCGACGCGGAGAAGACGAAGCACGCGGCGCUGCUGGAGCGCAUGUGGGUGCUGGAGGCGGCUCGCGACGACGCCGUAGCCGUGGCCGAGCGUCUUGAGAAGCGCGUGAGCGAAAUGCUCACUCGGGAAGAGUACCAGGCGGCGGUGGCCGAGCUGGAGGUGGCCGCUGCCUCCCUUAAGGAACUGAAUACGGAGCUGAGCAACGCCAAGGCGGCACACCUCGAGUCGCAGGAGCAGGUGGAGGAUCUCAAGCGGCAGCUGGAGACCCAGCGGCGGGAGACAGAGCUUCAGCACCUCGAGGCGGAGGAUGCGAUGCGUAAGCGUGAGCAACGCCUGCGUAGCGAGGAGGUCCGGUUCCGACAGCUGCAUGAGCAACUGAAAGAUUUGAAGCAUUACGCGGCAGGCCUCGAGAAAGCUAUCGCACUCGCGCGGAAAGAGGUGUGCGAUCAGCAAGAGCGAGUCCGUCACAAGGACUCCACGAUUGAGGAGCUCAAGGCGCAGAUGCUGAUGCGUGACGACGUGCAGGAGCUGCUCUGUCGGCUCUACCCCAACCACAGUGUGCUGCACGCGAAUGCGGAGCUUGUACGCGGUUUGUCGGAGACCACGGCACGCCUGCAACAGGAGCUGGCAGAGACGCGGCAGGACCUUGCUCACGUGCGCGAAGAGCUGCAGCAGCGCGAGCUCAGCGCGCGGGAGGCGGUGCAGGACCGUCAAGCGGCAGAGGUGCGCCUGCAGGACGCACUUGCACGGCUUGCGGUGCUGCAAGAGCCCGACGACAGCGGCGAUGCGGAGCAGCGCAGCCCGGGAGAGACGGCCGCCACGCGCGGCACGACGCACCCGCAGCCUGCGGGUGCCGCGUCCCGUAUGGCGGCGCUCUUUAACGUCGACGAAGCCUCUCUCACCGCCCUGCGCCAGCGUGUGCGCUACCUCCACGCGUGCGUCGAGGCGCAGGCGAAGGACAUCGCCGUCCUGCGCUCCGCCGAGUCCUCGUGGAAGCAGCGCGAGAUCGAUCUGCGCAAGCAGCUGGAAGUGAUGAGCGCGGACCCGGUGAGCCUGACGGCGCGCCGAUACGGCCUCUCCGCCUGCUUGAGCUUCGAGGAGCAGCUGGACGAGAUGCAGGCUCGACAGGACGCUCUUGAGAGCUCAAGAGCGCAGCUCCAGGAAGAGAAGGACGCUAUCGCUGUCAUGGUUCAGGAACACGCGAAGGCCGCCGCUGUAGCGCAGGGUGCCGCAGAUGCGGCACAGACGGUGGUGGAGCGCACCACGGCGCAGCUGACGUCCGCGACGGAGAAGUGCGCUGCGCUAAGCUCAGCCAUCACACGGCUGGAAAGCGAGCGGGACGAGGAGUCAUCGAAGCGCGUAGAUCUCGAGCGGCGGUACGAGCAGGCGCUAUCGGAGCUGGCGGACACGAAGCGCGGCCUCAGCGCAGUGCAGGAGUCCUUGGAGGCUACCGUGACGCAGCGUGACCACUUCUGGAAGGACAACAACCUUCUCAUCAGCAAGGUGGAGGAACUGGAAAAGGCGCUGCUGCAGUCCGACGCCGAGAAGCGCGCUGCCCGGGAGGCUCUGGCGCAGGGGCUGUCGGCGUCGUCGGCAUCUGCGUCUCGGCGGCGUCGCGGCGGCGACAGUGGUGCCGCCGAUCGCUAUCGCCGGCAGGCAUCCCUGACGCAGGACCUCAGCCUUUCCUCGCUCUCAGCUCGGCCGUCGUGAGAGCGCGUGCAGUUGACGGUAUCGGUUGCCAACACGCCUGAGAAGAGGACCUGCACACACACACACAUACAAGCAUGUACUCUCUCUCCCUCUGAUGCCUAUGGUGGUGGCGGAUGUUGGUGCCUUGGUGCGUGCUGGCAGUCGCCGGCGUGCGUUGUUGUGUGUGGUGUCGGUGAUGUCGUGUAUUGUCGGGGCGCGCUUGCGUGUGCCUACGGCCACCUCCGGCCUAAUACAAGUACAAAAAGACACAUGCUGUGCGUGGUGGGCCACAGCACCAUGUACAGGCAAGCGCAAGCGCAUCAACAAGCCGCGUGAGUAAACCGGAAGCGAAGGGUGGUGAGUGGGGGGGGGGGGAAUGAUCCGCGAGGUGCACACCGCGGGUUCCAUGCACCCCGUGUCCCCACUGCCGAUACGACCACCCCCUAUCCAACCUUCUGUGAUGGCGUUUCUUGGGUGGACGCGUUUGACGG